AACGAACGAUGGCGGGAGGGGGAACAGAGGCAAGUCGAACGAAGCCUUCGGGCUUAGUGGCGCACGGGUGCGUAACGCGUGGGAAUCUGCCCUUGGGUUCGGAAUAACAGUUAGAAAUGACUGCUAAUACCGGAUGAUGUCUUCGGACCAAAGAUUUAUCGCCCCAGGAUGAGCCCGCGUCGGAUUAGCUAGUUGGUGAGGUAAAGGCUCACCAAGGCGACGAUCCGUAGCUGGUCUGAGAGGAUGAUCAGCCACACUGGGACGGAGACCCGGCCCAGACUCCUACGGGAGGCAGCAGUGGGGAAUAUUGGACAAUGGGCGAAAGCCUGAUCCAGCAAUGCCGCGUGCGUGCUGCCGGCUUUAGGGUUGUAAAGCUCUUUUACCCGGGAUGAUAAUGACAGUACCGGGAGAAUAAGCCCCGGCUCCCUCCGUC
RNAcentral lists this ribosomal RNA (433 nucleotides) under uncultured bacterium. Its description in RNAcentral is "partial 16S ribosomal RNA". It matches the Rfam family "Bacterial small subunit ribosomal RNA", at positions 29 to 507 of the family's 1533-position model. The record is from RNAcentral.